RNAcentral lists this long non-coding RNA (227 nucleotides) under Lathyrus oleraceus (garden pea). Its description in RNAcentral is "Pisum sativum (pea) long non-coding RNA (PSAT_LNC037372)". Lineage: Eukaryota; Viridiplantae; Streptophyta; Magnoliopsida; Fabales; Fabaceae. The record is from RNAcentral.
UCAAAGUUACAGUAUGCAUCGAUGCAUAACCUUUUGUAUCAAUGCAUAAGUCUGUUUUGUCUACUAACAGCUUCUGUCCUUCAUAUAUAAGAAGUAUUGUGACAGCAGUGAAAAGGAACGAAUUCAGAAGAGAAAAACAGUUGAACACAAGAUCAAAGGAGUGUGUAGCAGCAAUUGUUUUUGAGCAGUUAGAAACCUGAAAGAGACUUCAUCUUCUUCAUCUUCUC